RNAcentral lists this ribosomal RNA (491 nucleotides) under uncultured bacterium. RNAcentral's name for it is "bacterial SSU rRNA". It matches the Rfam family "Bacterial small subunit ribosomal RNA", at positions 95 to 618 of the family's 1533-position model. The record is from RNAcentral.
GUGGCGGACGGGUGAGUAACGCGUGAAAAUCUGCCUCCAGGUCUGGGACAACAGAAGGAAACUUCGGUUAUUCCCGGAUGAGCCCUUGGGUAAAAGAUAAAUUGCCUGGAAAUAAGCUCCCGUCUGAUUAGCUAGUUGGUGUGAUAAAAGCAUACCAAGGCAACAAUCAGUAGCUGGUCUGAGAGGAUGAGCAGCCACACUGGGACUGAGACACGGCCCACACUCCUACGGGAGGCAGCAGUGGGGAAUUUUCCGCAAUGGGCGAAAGCCUGACAGAGCACGACCGCGUGGGGGAGGAAAGCUCUAGGGAUGCACCCCCCUUUUCUUUGGGAAAAAGUACUGACGGUACCAAAAGAAUCAGCCUCGGCUAACUCCGUGCCCGCCGCCGCGGUAAUACAAGAGGAGGCAAGUGUUCCUCCAGAAUGAUUGGGCGUAAAGCGUCCGCAGGUGGACAUGUUUUUCUGCUGUCAAAACCCGGGGCUUAACUCUGG